CGGAGAAGGCCGCCGCGGAUUCCUUUCGACGAUAGUUAAUAAUUAGCGUUACGACGAACGGCGUGGCGGUGUGUCGGUCGACGUUCGUUACGUAUUAUUUUACAGCCGGACGAUGAUUCUUAUUGUAAUUAAGCGGCAGCGGGCCCCCGGCCACCGGGAAUCGUAAAUUUCGAGUUUAUGGAGACAGACGGGAGCAGCGUGGUAAUAUUAAUUGCGCAUCGGCCGUAAUGGCCGGCCUCCGACGCCAUUGUUUUGUCCGCUGGAAAGUUGGAUUCGUGGAGGAAACGAAUCUCCUUCGAGAGAUCCAGGGAUCGCCAGGAUUCGUUUCUUCAGCGUUCGCGCCUGCUUGCUUUACCGACGUUAUUCGUUUUCGAAAAUUAAUUCCGUUCGUCUGUGGGACAAUUUUAAUCGACUCGUCAAUCGUUGCAACUGUAACGUAAAUUUACACGAGUCAUUUUCAAAUCUCCAAACGAUCAGAAUCGAGCCGAAAUCUACCGUGAACCCUUUCGUGGAUCCUUCCUUCUUCGACUGAGCUAUCGAUGGCCCUAAUUCGAUCGUACUCGCAACCCUAUCUCGAGGCGUCGACGGUGUCGAUAAUUGCGGAAGUGAUGGCGAGAUUAGCAAGGAUAGGGUAGGAGGGAGCGGCACAGCUGCGUCGUUAUUAUCAUUCUCUUCAUUAAAGGACGAUCGGGGUAACGAUUUAAUGGCUUUCUGGGUCUUAUCAUCCGCGGACUCUCGCGGCCCGAGACGCUCAUUCGUCGGCCGCUUAUUUCAAUAUUACAGUGUAAUAAAUAGCGAGCGUACACGUCGAGGAUUAAAUCGACGAAAAUUACAGAUCGUUCGGGACGAUGGGGACAGGCGGGACGGAGGAAGGAAGCGGAGACCCGCAAAUUACAUAGAUCUCGACCAACGGUACCACGCGUAUACUCUGGGAAUUUUUCAUCCGUGUUGUUGGGAUAAGAGAGACAUUGGAAGAUAGAUAGAGAGAGUGGGUUGUUGCGGAGCACUACAGGAUCGUUAUCGAGAGGGUCGACCACCCCUGCGAACCUGACUGUGACUCGAGGGUGGCUGAGAAUUUUGCAAAGUUUUCGAUUAGGAGCACUUGCUAAUUUGAUGAGUGUUGAUGGAGAUUAUGAAUCGUGAUUGUUGAUCCAUAUCGAUCCAAUAACGCGUACAGAAAACGCUCGGUAAUUACCGUGCACUGUCUCACAGGCAAAUCGACAUACUGGCGCUUAAUAACAGGCAAUAAUUGCUGUUUUUCAACGGAAACGGGCAAGUAGAAGGAUUACCUACAAAGUCUUCAUUAUUAAACGAGUCAUCGAUUACGCAACAGAAUUAAUUACGUUUCGAUUGGCAGUGAAGAAUGAUCAUUG
This is a long non-coding RNA of Hylaeus anthracinus, 1373 nucleotides long. RefSeq lists it as uncharacterized. The record is from RefSeq and is a predicted model, not a curated record. The transcript is spliced from 3 exons. NCBI's taxonomy places the organism in Eukaryota, Metazoa, Arthropoda, Insecta, Hymenoptera, Colletidae.